This 385-nucleotide long non-coding RNA is filed under the name Salmo salar (Atlantic salmon). Its description in RNAcentral is "lncRNA (ENSSSAG00000104381.1)". The record is from RNAcentral. Lineage: Eukaryota; Metazoa; Chordata; Actinopteri; Salmoniformes; Salmonidae.
GGCAAGUGGUAACAACAUGUUUUCCUGAGGGGAAAUAAUGUCCGUCGGGGGACAUUAUGUCAGAGUCCAAAAACAUUGAAGUACAUUGAAAUACACAUAAAUAGCAACCCAGCUAGCACAUUUGGUUACUUCGAAGUUUCCCAUUGGUUCUGGGAAUGAAGCCAGAAGUUUCCUAAACGGGGGGUUCUGAGAACGUUUUGCUGUGGUUCCCUGACAGUUUUCCUGGACCUGAGCCCUAGGACCAUGCCUCAGGACUACCUGGUAUGAUGACUCCUUGCUGUCCCCAGUCCACCUGGCCGUGCUGCUGCUCCAGUUUCAACUGUUCUGCCUGCGGCUAUGGAACCCUGACCUGUUCACCGGACGUGCUUGUUGCACCCUCGACAAC